This 760-nucleotide ribosomal RNA is filed under the name uncultured bacterium. RNAcentral describes it as "bacterial SSU rRNA". It matches the Rfam family "Bacterial small subunit ribosomal RNA", at positions 33 to 788 of the family's 1533-position model. The record is from RNAcentral.
ACGCUGGCGGCAGGCCUAACACAUGCAAGUCGAGCGGUAGAGAGAAGCUUGCUUCUCUUGAGAGCGGCGGACGGGUGAGUAAUGCCUAGGAAUCUGCCUGGUAGUGGGGGAUAACGUUCGGAAACGGACGCUAAUACCGCAUACGUCCUACGGGAGAAAGCAGGGGACCUUCGGGCCUUGCGCUAUCAGAUGAGCCUAGGUCGGAUUAGCUAGUUGGUGAGGUAAUGGCUCACCAAGGCGACGAUCCGUAACUGGUCUGAGAGGAUGGUCAGUCACACUGGAACUGAGACACGGUCCAGACUCCUACGGGAGCCAGCAGUGGGGAAUAUUGGACAAUGGGCGAAAGCCUGAUCCAGCCAUGCCGCGUGUGUGAAGAAGGUCUUCGGAUUGUAAAGCACUUUAAGUUGGGAGGAAGGGUUGUAGAUUAAUACUCUGCAAUUUUGACGUUACCGACAGAAUAAGCACCGGCUAACUCUGUGCCAGCAGCCGCGGUAAUACAGAGGGUGCAAGCGUUAAUCGGAAUUACUGGGCGUAAAGCGCGCGUAGGUGGUUUGUUAAGUUGGAUGUGAAAUCCCCGGGCUCAACCUGGGAACUGCAUUCAAAACUGACUGACUAGAGUAUGGUAGAGGGUGGUGGAAUUUCCUGUGUAGCGGUGAAAUGCGUAGAUAUAGGAAGGAACACCAGUGGCGCAGGCGACCACCUGGACUAAUACUGACACUGAGGUGCGAAAGCGUGGGGAGCAAACAGGAUUAGAUACCCU